Molecule: ribosomal RNA, 65 nt
Filed under: Lachnospiraceae bacterium
Lineage: Bacteria; Bacillati; Bacillota; Clostridia; Lachnospirales; Lachnospiraceae
Description: partial 23S ribosomal RNA
Source: RNAcentral
GCACGAGGUGUAAGCGCAGUAAUGUGUUAAUCUGACGUGUACUAAUCGGUCGAGGGCUUAACCAA